This 139-nucleotide long non-coding RNA is filed under the name Dasypus novemcinctus (nine-banded armadillo). RNAcentral's name for it is "lncRNA (ENSDNOG00000049957.1)". The record is from RNAcentral. Lineage: Eukaryota; Metazoa; Chordata; Mammalia; Cingulata; Dasypodidae.
UAAAAUGUGAGGAGGACAGACAGAGCUUUGGAAGAAAAAGAGGGUAGAAUGUUGACCGGCUUUGGGAUGGGGAAGAAUCCCUGAAGAGUGGAAAGAAGCUGCCCUCCCUCACAAACACAGGUACCCUACCAGGCACAGC